Aegilops tauschii subsp. strangulata is the source of this 3005-nucleotide non-coding RNA. The record is from RefSeq and is a predicted model, not a curated record. Lineage: Eukaryota; Viridiplantae; Streptophyta; Magnoliopsida; Poales; Poaceae.
CCCACCACUGCAUUUUUAAAUAGCCUAAUUUCCUCGAGAUCUUCGUCUCACCUACUUGGCUACUUCCAUUGAUGGUACUCCGUGAUCCAGAUCCACUCUCUGUUUGACCUCGUCACCAGUACUUCUCUCACAAACCACCUCCAUCGCCUUUCGUCCGCACUCGCUACUCCACCACCGCCUCAGCGCCCCACGCCCCCAGCCCGCGAAAGCGCGGGAUGGCGCCCAAGCGGCCACUCGACGCCACCCUGCCGGAGGAGGAGGCUGCGCUGUGGUUGUCCCGGAUGAAGCGGUCCCGGAGGUUUCGGCUAAAGCGGACGGUGCUCGUCGUGAUGUGGCUCAUGUGCGGGCCCAGCGGGACGGCUAGGAAAAGAAGAGAAAGAAAACGGCCGUGGCGCUGGAUCUCUCAGGUGGUUUGUCCUUGGAUGAGCAUGCUCGACGUAAGUUCGGAGCCACCGUUUGUGCCACUCGAUUAUUUACGAGAAAUUACAGAUGAUUUCUCCGAGGAGCGGAAGCUUGGUAGCGGUUCGUUUGGAGAGGUUUACUUGGGAGUGGAUCAAGAUGGGCAAAAGAUUGCUGUGAAGAGAAUCUAUCAGAUGGCAGGUGUUGAUGAUGGGCAAUUUCAGAAUGAGUUUACAAACCUUGCAAGGCUCAAGCACCGGAAUAUUGUGCGGUUAGUUGGCUAUUGCAACCAUAUUCAGGAAGUACCAGCAAUGUACGAAGGAAAAUUUGUUCUUGCUGAAAAGAUACAUAGGGCGCUCUGCUUAGAGUAUAUGUCUAAUGGAAGCCUUCAAAAGUAUAUUUCUGAUGAAUGUAAUAAAUAUGAUUGGCGCACAGGCUACGGAAUAAUUAAGGGGAUUUGCCAGGGUUUGAAAUGCCUCCACAUUGAAUUAAAGCCACCUAUUUAUCAUUUGGAUUUAAAGCCAGCCAACGUAUUGCUGGAUGAGAACAUGGUUCCCAGACUUGCAGAUUUUGGGAUAUCAAGGCUCUUUGGAGAUGAACGAACACGAGCUACAAAAAGUAUUUUAGGAACGCAAGGGUACUUACCGCCGGAAUACAUACACAACAAUUUGAUCUCAAGUAAGUUUGACAUAUUCAGCCUUGGUGUUGUAAUCAUAAAGAUAAUGUCAGGACGGGCGGGCUACUCCAAAAUUACUGACAUGUCUCCCCAGGAGUUCACUAAUCUUGUACAGGAAAAAUGGACAAACAGGCUACAUGAAACAUCCAGUCUGAUGAAGGCAUAUUCCAAGCAAGUGAAGACAUGUAUUCAAAUAGGUUUAAUGUGUGUGAACGAUGAUCGACAUAAAAGGCCAUCUAUACAGGAUAUUGUCAAUAGACUGAAUGAGACAGAAACUGAGUGUACCUAUGCGGCAAGAAAGGACGGGUCGUUGAUUUACCAGAUUCCAGAGGAUGACUCAAUCACAUUCAUGGGUGCAAGUCUAACUGGCCAACAGAAUGGACACUUCAGCUUCUCGACAACUGAUGCACCUGGUACUUCUUAUCCUGUAGCAGAUGUUGCUGGGACUACCCCAGGUGGAGUUAGUCUGGGAAUCUCUUCACCUAACCAUGUUCCGGUUGACAUGUCCAGUGAGCCUCCUUCAGAUGAAUUUGAUGAGACAGACCAGGGCAUUGCACCAGCUAACAACGGAGAAGUGCCAAAUUCCAACAACCAACCUCAUGGUUAUGAACAUGAUGGUGGCAAGUGGCAACCAGUGAUUAAGCUUGAAGCCACUACAACAUGCUUUCCUCUACCACACUAAACAUGAUGAUGGUGGCAGAUGGUGAUUAAAGUAUUCAGUGUGACUAAAUAUUCAGUUGUACAUAUCCUCUGCUUCUUCUUUGCGGGGGAUUCAAAUGUAUAUAUACAUUAUUAACACCAGGAACCAUUCAUUCCCAUAAAGAAGCGAACCUGGAUGCAGUAAUUGCAAGAGAGAGGCGCACUGUGCAUGAUGGAAAGAUGGCAGGGUCACUUUUUGUCACGUCCCGACGUGCAAAAAGUUUCUGCGUUAUGGCCCACCACCGGCUACAUCACCAGGUCAAGUCAUCAGCUGCUCCUCCUAUGCGGCGGCACGUGCACCAGCUCGCGCAGCUCACUAGUCCAGCUCCAAAGGCCCGAAACAAUUGUGCCAAAUCCAUACGCCUAUGCCACCUAUUCCCUAUUACUAGGAGACCGAACAGUAGGGACCGAAGAGGACAAUUACCAUACAUAACAACAAACAUACGUAUAUGUUAAAUAUUAAACAACAGCACAUGCUUUUGCCACAAAAACAAAGUACAUAAUUUUGUUUGUUUAAAUGAAUGCUGACCAUGUAUUAAAAGAAUGUUAACCUUGCAUCUAAAAAAUGUAAAUCGAGUUUUGAAGCUGUUAAGUGUGUAUAGAAAAAAUAUUUACCAUGUACUAAAAAAUGUUAAUCUAGUGUUGAAAAAUAUUAAUCAAGCAUUUAAAAAAAUUAAAAAUUGUACUAAAAAUGUUAAUCAUGUAGUAUUAAAAAAUGUUCGAAACGUCAAAUGCUAUCUACUUGUGCAGUUCAAAACAGAAAUAUCAUAGAUAGACAAAGAAAGUGUUCCCAAGUCAUAAUCAGUGGAAUGCUUUUAUCAAGUUCUAGGUCUCUCUCUGUACUAACAACCACAAGGUCUGUCUGGGAUUUUGGAUUGCUAGUUCAGCUUUACUGGUAUGUCUCUCUUUAAAGUAUCUCAAUGUUCUAUUUUUAGUGCACGGAUGAAGUCAUAGUUUAAUAGUUUAUUAGUUGAUUUUUGUUUCAAUCUCAGAGCUGGGGAUCUAGAAAGGUAAUCUUGUAUUUGAAAUAUGUUAAUUAAGCAUCCGAAAAAAUGUUAAAAAAAGAAUUUGAAAAAUGUUAAUCAAGCAUUUGAAUAAUGUUAAAUGAGUGUUGAAAAAUGUUGACUAGGUAUUAAAAAUGUUAAUCUUGCAUUUGAAAAAAUGUUAAUCAAGCUUUGAAAAUGUUAAAUGUGUAUAGAGAAAAUAUUGACCAUGUAUUCAAAAAUGUUAA